This 115-nucleotide ribosomal RNA is filed under the name Lentilactobacillus farraginis. The record is from RNAcentral. Lineage: Bacteria; Bacillati; Bacillota; Bacilli; Lactobacillales; Lactobacillaceae. RNAcentral also lists the same sequence under 1 other name.
UGUGGUGGCUAUAGCCAGAAGGAGACACCUGUUCCCAUGCCGAACACAGUAGUUAAGCUUCUGUACGCCAAGAGUAGUUGGGGGAUCGCCCCCUGCAAGUAGGACGUUGCCACGC